GAUGAACGCUGGCGGCGUGCUUAACACAUGCAAGUCGAACGAACGACUAUUAACAGAACCUUUCGGGGCGAAGAUGAUAGAAGUUAGUGGCGGACGGGUGCGUAACGCGUGGGUAAUCUGCCUUUGUCAAAGGAAUAACUAUUCGAAAGAAUAGCUAAAACCGUAUAACAUAUUAAUAGGGCAUCCUAAUAAUAUCAAAACGAUAGUGGACAAAGAUGAGCCCGCGUCUGAUUAGCUAGUUGGUGAGAUAAAAGCCCACCAAGGCAACGAUCAGUAGCCGACCUGAGAGGGUGAACGGCCACAUUGGAACUGAGACACGGUCCAAACUCCUACGGGAGGCAGCAGUGGGGAAUAUUGCACAAUGGGGGGAACCCUGAUGCAGCAACGCCGCGUGAGUGAAGAAGGCAUUCGUGUCGUAAAACUCUGUAGUAGGGGAAGAAAGAAAUGACAGACCCUAAAAGAAGGCCCCG
RNAcentral lists this ribosomal RNA (470 nucleotides) under Filifactor alocis. RNAcentral's name for it is "bacterial SSU rRNA". It matches the Rfam family "Bacterial small subunit ribosomal RNA", at positions 28 to 495 of the family's 1533-position model. The record is from RNAcentral. Lineage: Bacteria; Bacillati; Bacillota; Clostridia; Peptostreptococcales; Filifactoraceae.